This 301-nucleotide ribosomal RNA is filed under the name uncultured bacterium. Its description in RNAcentral is "partial 16S ribosomal RNA". It matches the Rfam family "Bacterial small subunit ribosomal RNA", at positions 509 to 807 of the family's 1533-position model. The record is from RNAcentral.
CAGUAGCCGCGGUAAUACGAAGGGGGCUAGCGUUGUUCGGAAUUACUGGGCGUAAAGCGCACGUAGGCGGAUUGUUAAGUUAGGGGUGAAAUCCCAGGGCUCAACCCCGGAACUGCCUUUAAUACUGGCAAUCUCGAGUCCGAGAGAGGUGGGUGGAAUUCCGAGUGUAGGGGUGAAAUUCGUAGAUAUUCGGAGGAACACCAGUGGCGAAGGCGGCUCACUGGCUCGGUACUGACGCUGAGGUGCGAAAGCGUGGGGAGCAAACAGGAUUAGAUACCCCCGUAGUCCCUGUCUCUUAUAC